Molecule: non-coding RNA, 21 nt
Filed under: Caenorhabditis elegans
Lineage: Eukaryota; Metazoa; Nematoda; Chromadorea; Rhabditida; Rhabditidae
Source: RNAcentral
UAUUUGCUGAUAUCUUUCCUU